CACAGCCGGCCUUGGGAAUGACCCCCUGUCCGGGAAUGACCCUCCCACCCCGGGAAUUCACCGUCCGGGAAUGACCAGCGCUCAGGGUGCCUGCCCCAUCAGCGAACCCAUCUCAACACCAGGCUGUUGGUGACAUCUGUCCAGUUCCUCUUCCAGGCUGUGACUGUCCCAGGCCACUGCAGGGAGGGCUUUCUCCUUGGGUGACACUGUUGCCCAAUCUCUGAGUUCACGUACGAAGGGACCAGAGCUGGGACAAAGAGACCAGGCAGGAGGCAGAGCCGUGUGAAAUACUGGCGUGUUUAUUGGUUGGCACUAGAUUACAGCCCACACUCUCGGCAAACUGGCAUCCACCAAUUUAAUUUUUUCAGUUUUUCACUCUUUUAAAGACAGUGACGGCCUCCCCCUUGCACACAACUCAACAGAGGAAACCCCUCGUGACAGGACCCCGCCGCACCACCCGGCUCCACACAAGGAGAGCCCUCCGGCCUUUCUGGAGACACUGUGGAUGAAAGGUCAGAAUCACAUGGGAUGUCCUGCACCUGCCAGCCAGGACCGAGCAGGAGCAGGAGAACAUCUGCAUUAUCCAGAGGUUCCAACUGAGACGGAUCCCCAAAGGAAACAGAACGUGUUUUCUAAUUCACACGUGUGACUUUGAACAAAGGUGGUGUAAGAACACAUCGGUGAGAAAGAGAAAAGAGCAUCUAUUGCAAUGCUCCAUUUCCAAAGGGCCUUUGCUGUUGCAAAGUGUUUCUGCAAACUAUUUAAUUUGUUGUAACCCUCCCAUGCGAAGUUCACCAGGAGAUUAGAAACACCAAGUGCUGGAGGGAGGAACAGAGAUCUGCAGCCAAGAAAAUAAACCCAAACAGAUUAUAGGAAUUACAAGUACAAAACCAUCUUGAAUUCACAGAGAAUUGAGUAUUUCACUUGCAACUUAUGAAAAUUACUGAAAAUAUCUGGCCUUUUUAAAUCCUAAUAAAACAGCAAGUUUGUUCUCUCCAUCAGUUUUCCUUCUGCAAACUUGCUGACACUUCCCUGGGAAAGCCAGGUGGCAGGAGUGGCACAAGAACCUCCAUGAGACAUCCCAGCUGACCCCAGCACAUCCCAACUGACCCCAGCACAUCCCAACCGACCCCAGCACAUCCCAGCUGACCCCACCAUCGCAUGGAGCACAGCACCCAGGGAUCCCUCACCAGGCUCUGUGGUUGCCAUCGGCCCCCACCCCAGGCUGGACAUUUCGAUGACUUGGAUCAGUACCUGGAAGGGCUCCGAACUCGUUUUCCCUUGCACCUGGGUCAGUUCCACCCUCAAUUGUGGGGGUGAGGUCGAAGGUACCAGCUCAGACACAAACCAGAAACAGUCAAAGCCCUACAGCUCUGACCAACCAUGGAGAUUCCUUGUUUUGGGGAGGAAUGGAGAAGCCUCAGGCAAACACACCCACGGACAGGAUGUUGGACAAUGGACCCUGGUCAUUCAUCCCUCAACCAGGGUCUGGGGCCCCGUUCUCCUGAUUUGGGGGGGCUGCCAGGAACCCCCCAUGUACACAGAGCUCAUGGAAGGACUGAGCAGCAAAGGCAAAGUGAUCAUUCCAGAUUUUCUGAUUUAAUAAAUAUAAAAUAGGACACACAGGAAAUUGAACAAACACUCUCACACCUCCCCAGGUUCAUUUCUGAGGCAAUUCUAGAGCCGAUUCAUCAAGUAUAACAUCAAAAUUCCCAUCUUCCCAAAAAAAAAAAAAAAAGAAAGAAAAGAAAAAACCCUAUGGACUAGCACCAAAGAGAGAUUUAUAAAUCUCUUAAAUACAACUUCAGUUCAGUUUCUUUUUCACCAGCUACACCUUUGUUAUGCACAGACCCCCUGACACCACCCCAGCAUAGCACUCCAGGAUCUCGGCAGCCCAGAGCAGCUGGGUUAGUUCAUUCCAAGGUUAGGAAAAUGAGGAUCACGCCCUGUGUGUGUCAGGAGCUCAGGGACCAGCUGAGGGGCACUCAAGCCAUGAGGUCACCACGUCCCUGCAGGGCUGCAGCCACCAGAUGAUGCCAUUACUGAGCAGGAGAACGGAGCCAGGAGGGGAAACCCAGCCUGGGAGCAAGACCAGAGCAGGCACUGCGUCACCCAGAGGGAAAAGCUCCUCACACUGCAACCCUGUCACUGCUUGGGGCAGGUUUGGCUGAAGAUACAGCUCCAAUCCUCCCCCAGCACCAGCCACAGGCUCCCCUUGGGGGGGUCCAACCCCAAACCAAUCCCUCCCCAACGCCCAGUGUCCCCCCCCCCCCCGCUCUGCACAGGGAGGGAUGCUGCAUCUGGCUGUGUGAAAGCACAAACAUUUGGGAUAAAACAGAGAGAACAGGCAGGAAACCUACAGCUCUUGCACAAGUGUUACUUGUUGGACCUGUGCAGCCUCCAGGAUUUCAUUCUCCGGGAGUGACCCGUGUGCUGCGGAAUGCUGAACACAGCUUCUGCAUGGAAAAGCUGAGGCAAAGGCCCAAAGCCCCUGCUAGAUCCGGGAAGGGAACUGAGGAUUCCUGACAUUCCCUACUCACAUUUUCAGCCAGAAUACUUUGUGGCCACACAAGGGAAAAAGCAACACUUGCAGAUUCCAAUCCCUUUUCGUUUUUCCCUUUACAGAGUUUGCUUUAAGGCACAUUCCAGCUCAGGCUGAAUGAGUGCUCCACAGGAGAGUAGGGAAGAGCUCACAGCAUCCAUCUACACAGGAACAGAGCUGGUGGGAAAGCUGAUCCUGCCAUUCAUUCCAGCUCCCACCAAACCCAGCUCCCACCUUGCCCCCAGCACCAGGGCAGACAGCAGGAAGUUUGGGGGGCCCUGACGUGCAGCCCUCAGGCUCUGCUCCCUUCCUCUGCUUAUUCCCAGAACACCUCCACCUGGCUGAGCUGGAAGCAGACCAACCUGAGGAGAUUGUCACCGUGUCCCCUCCCUGCUGUCACUGCCUCGAUCCUUGGGGGUUUUACAGCCCGAAGUUUAAUGUGUUUUCAAUUUGAAAAAAAAUCUUUUUAGUUUGCACAGUGGCUGUUAACUCCACAUCCAGGGAAUGUUCUGCCUAAUGUUGUACCUGGAGAGGUGAAUGCCAGUGGCUCAGAAUUCCCAGUGCCACGGCAGUUCUGAGCCAGGGUGUGCUGGCCCUGCUGACCAUACUGAGUGUGGACAGCUCGGCCAGUGCUGCUGGGAACUGGCAACACUGCCCUGAGAUAGGGGAGGCACAGCUGUGACACUGAGGUUCCAACAAACCACUCAAACAAUCCAUCUUUGGGAAGCCACCAGAGGUACUUUAACAUCACUGAAUUCCAGAUUUCAGGGAGAAUGGGUAAAACCCCUCCCUUCUUUCACUCUUCUCUCCCAGGAAAAGGCAGCACCUCCCAGGCCCAGCAGUGGCCCAGCCAGGCAGCACCCACCACACAGCAGGGAAAUCCCCCAAUCCCCACCUGGGCUUACUCUGAACUGCAAAAGGGUUCUUCCCUUUGAAAUGUGCCUUUGAACAACCUCAGUGUGAGCAAAGUCACAUCUGAAACCCAAACCCGCCCAACAGCAACCACCUCAGCCAGAUGCUCUGUGGUUCCUGCCACACACAAUUUCCAAGCUGCGAAUAACCAAAGAACCAAAAUCCCUUUUCCACAACAACAAAUCCUUGUCUGGGAGACACUCCCCAAAGCCAGAGCCACACAAUUCCAGCUCUGCUGAGUUUCAUUACACUCAGCUCUCUCUGCAGAGGGACGUCCAUCUGCCUCUUAAGUUUUACACAUCAGGUAAGACCACCAGAGAGAUUUGGAAUCUGACAAAUCCUCCUGGAAGGAUCCAGCAGCACUUGGACACACAGGUAUUCCAGGGGUGUCUUCCUUUUCUCCUGCUCCCAUGCUGGAGUCACCAAACUGGUGCAGAGUUCCCUUGCCCCUCACUGGUGUAGCAAGAGUGGGGCGUCCUUGGACAAUGACCACAGGAAUGAAAA
Molecule: long non-coding RNA, 3958 nt
Organism: Corvus hawaiiensis (hawaiian crow)
Lineage: Eukaryota; Metazoa; Chordata; Aves; Passeriformes; Corvidae
Exons: 2
Source: RefSeq, a predicted model, not a curated record